Molecule: ribosomal RNA, 460 nt
Filed under: uncultured bacterium
Lineage: Bacteria
Description: partial 16S ribosomal RNA
Rfam family: Bacterial small subunit ribosomal RNA
Source: RNAcentral
CCUACGGGAGGCAGCAGUGAGGAAUAUUGGUCAAUGGACGAGAGUCUGAACCAGCCAAGUCGCGUGAAGGAUGACGGAUCUAUGGUUUGUAAACUUCUUUUAUAUGGGAAUAAAGUGAGGAACGUGUUCCUUUUUGUAUGUACCAUAUGAAUAAGCAUCGGCUAACUCCGUGCCAGCAGCCGCGGUAAUACGGAGGAUCCGAGCGUUAUCCGGAUUUAUUGGGUUUAAAGGGUGCGUAGGUGGUUUAUUAAGUCAGUUGUGAAAGUUUGUGGCUCAACCAUAAAAUUGCCGUUGAUACUGGUUGACUUGAGUAUAGUUGAGGUAGGCGGAAUGCGUGGUGUAGCGGUGAAAUGCAUAGAUAUCACGCAGAACUCCGAUUGCGAAGGCAGCUUACUAAACUAUAACUGACACUGAAGCACGAAAGCGUGGGGAUCAAACAGGAUUAGAUACCCCAGUAGUC